UACGUAGGGUGCGAGCGUUAAUCGGAAUUACUGGGCGUAAAGCGUGCGCAGGCGGCUUUGUAAGUCUGUCGUGAAAUCCCCGGGCUUAACCUGGGAAUGGCGAUGGAGACUGCAAGGCUAGAGUUUGGCAGAGGGGGGUAGAAUUCCACGUGUAGCAGUGAAAUGCGUAGAGAUGUGGAGGAACACCGAUGGCGAAGGCAGCCCCCUGGGUCAAAACUGACGCUCAUGCACGAAAGCGUGGGGAGCAAACAGG
RNAcentral lists this ribosomal RNA (253 nucleotides) under uncultured bacterium. RNAcentral's name for it is "partial 16S ribosomal RNA". It matches the Rfam family "Bacterial small subunit ribosomal RNA", at positions 524 to 776 of the family's 1533-position model. The record is from RNAcentral.